UACAGAGGGUGCGAGCGUUAAUCGGAAUUACUGGGCGUAAAGCGCGCGUAGGCGGCUUUGCAAGUCGGGUGUGAAAUCCCCAGGCUUAACCGUGGAAGUGCAUGGGAAACUGCAGAGCUUGAGUACUUAAGAGGAUCGCGGAAUUCCCGGUGUAGAGGUGAAAUGCGUAGAUAUCGGUAGGAACACCAGUGGCGAAGGCGGUCUCCUGGGGCAUUCUUGACGCUGAGGCGCGAAAGCUGGGGGAGCGAACGGG
Molecule: ribosomal RNA, 253 nt
Filed under: uncultured bacterium
Lineage: Bacteria
Description: partial 16S ribosomal RNA
Rfam family: Bacterial small subunit ribosomal RNA
Source: RNAcentral